Long non-coding RNA from Ornithorhynchus anatinus (platypus), 560 nucleotides. RefSeq lists it as uncharacterized. The transcript has 2 exons. The record is from RefSeq and is a predicted model, not a curated record. Lineage: Eukaryota; Metazoa; Chordata; Mammalia; Monotremata; Ornithorhynchidae.
GUAAUGAAGCAGCAACAAGCAAGAUGGCUUCUUCCCUCUUCACUUUAAACCUGCUCGGGGGGGGGGAAGGUCAGAGAAGAGCUCAGUUCUCUAGUUCUCCUGCUCCUAUUCCAUGUCUUAGGGGAAGCCCGGAGAGACCCGAGACAUCCAGACCGCGCUUACGCCUUGCAGAAGCUGAAAGUAAAGAAUCACCAGGAUUCUCUGUCCAGCUAACACUGCGAGGAGCCUCGUUUCACCGCCUGCCCAACAUUCCAUUCCCUGAUUGUGAAUGCAGCGGCUGGGGAGGGAGAGAAAAACCUCAACCUGGUUGGCUUCCCAACACUGACCUUUCCUCCAAAGUUCCCGGGAUUUCCUCUAUUCCUGCCCCACAGAAAGCUGCCUCUGAGGGGAAGGGGUAGGAGGGAGGAGAGGGCAGGCAAGAUUUGUGUGGCAUUGAUCGGCUUUGGCCUCUCUUCUGUGACUGUCUACUCCGAUUAAAUAGUUUCUCAAUUAGUCAGUUUCCUUUGAGCUUUGGAAAUGAAAUAUGUGGUAGAGCCACAAAUACACAAUGGGUAAGAGUG